This 444-nucleotide ribosomal RNA is filed under the name uncultured bacterium. RNAcentral describes it as "bacterial SSU rRNA". It matches the Rfam family "Bacterial small subunit ribosomal RNA", at positions 355 to 796 of the family's 1533-position model. The record is from RNAcentral.
UCGAGAAUCUUCCGCAAUGGGCGAAAGCCUGACGGAGCGACGCCGCGUGACUGACGAAGUCCUUCGGGACGUAAAAGUCUUUUAUGAGGGAGAAAGACAUAUCUUUCGAGGUGUGUUUGAUGGUACCUCAUGAAUAAGGGGCUCCUAACUCUGUGCCAGCAGGAGCGGUAAUACAGAGGCCCCGAGCGUUAUCCGGAAUCAUUGGGCGUAAAGGGUGCGUAGGCGGUUGUGUUAGUCUUUUGUCAAAGCCUUCGGCUCAACCGGGGACAGGCAAAAGAAACGGCACUACUUGAGGAUGUGAGAGGUGUGCGGAACUCAUAGUGUAGGGGUGAAAUCCGUUGAUAUUAUGGGGAACACCAAAUGCGAAGGCAGCACACUGGCACAUUCCUGACGCUGAGGCACGAAAGCGUGGGUAGCGAACGGGAUUAGAUACCCCCGUAGUCC